RNAcentral lists this ribosomal RNA (555 nucleotides) under Nipponoparmelia ricasolioides. Its description in RNAcentral is "SSU rRNA". It matches the Rfam family "Bacterial small subunit ribosomal RNA", at positions 356 to 929 of the family's 1533-position model. The record is from RNAcentral. Lineage: Eukaryota; Fungi; Ascomycota; Lecanoromycetes; Lecanorales; Parmeliaceae.
GAGGAAUGUAUAGCAAUAGCUACUUGCAUCAUUGUAGUUAUGAUGCAAGAUCGACUAUGUGGAAUAAAAUUCUAGGUAGAAUUAUGAUAAUGACAUUGUCUGCCUAUGUGUCUUGACCAAAUUACGUGCCAGCAGUCGCGGUAAUACGUAGAAGACUAGUGUUAUUCAUGUUUAAUCGGUUUAAAGGGUACCUAGACGGCAAAUCAAGCUUUCUUUUAAAAAGAAUUAAAGGACUAAUUUGCUAGAGUUACUUCUGAGGGGGUAUUAAAGUACUGGUGGUGUAGAGAUGAAAUUCUGUCAUACCUCAUUUCGAUAAAAUAGAAAUAUUAUGGCACAGGUAUAGGCGAAGGCAUCCCCUUAUGUGAUAACUGACGUUGAGGGACGAAGGCUUUGUAUAGCGAACAGGAUUAGAUACCCUAGUAGUCGAAGCAGAAAAUGAUGAAUGUCAUAGAUUAGAUAUAUAAGUUUAUUCUAUAAAUGAAAGUGUAAGCAUUCCACCUCAUGAGUAAUUUGGCAACAUUGGAACUGAAAUCAUUAGACCGUUUCUGAAACCAG